ACUUGUGGCCGAACCUGUGGUCUAUGAAAAGUUGGAAAAUGCAGCUGCUAACCAGCAGCAACCUCACUUCUAUCAUCCACCGACAGGCUCCAGAGAAAAAAAAAGCAGUUGGAUAAUAAUAUCACUCCCAGCCAAAUCGAUUCAAACGUUCUCUCCUCUACUGUCAAAAAUUGAAUUCCACUCGUUUCUUCUCACCUAGCAGAUCCCUCCUCCCUCUCACACACAAAAAUUUGAGAUCACAAUCACUGCAAAAAGUUCUCUCCUCUACUGUCAAAAAUAAUUCUGUGUCUUCUCCGAAGAAGGAAGGUGGUUUUGGAGCUUGUAUUGGGAAAGGGUUGGAAAAAGUUUGCUCCUUUAACUGGGGUAGUAAGAGAGAUUAAUUUAAUACUUCUGCAGAGCAAAAUCUUCAUAUUUGUUUAUUUUCUGAGAAUGGACUCCAGCAUAGGAAAAAUAGAACACAGUUAUGAACCAGUAAGAAUUCAUACCAUGGUUGAAAUAUGGAAAUUCACUGGAUUCAUUUUUCCAUUUCAUUGCUGUGUAUUUUAUCUAUUGAAUGUCUAGUAACACAGAUUUUCUUGUUUACAUUUGGCAAGAUUCAUGAGUACAGUUUCUGUUUCUGAUGGGAAAGCUCUGAUAUUCUAUUUUAAUUUUACAAGAAACAUUUUGGUUUGAUCAUUGCUAGCUUUUUUCCCCCAUUGACUAGGUGGGUCUGAGCUUAAGGGAGGGGGGCCCUGCAUGCCACCCGAUAAUUCUUGUUGAGUUCGUGCGUCUCAGGAAAAUUGGCGAAC
RNAcentral lists this long non-coding RNA (788 nucleotides) under Populus trichocarpa (black cottonwood). RNAcentral describes it as "long non-coding RNA (PTRI_LNC003842)". Lineage: Eukaryota; Viridiplantae; Streptophyta; Magnoliopsida; Malpighiales; Salicaceae. The record is from RNAcentral.